GACGAACGCUGGCGGCGUGCUCAACACAUGCAAGUCGAACGGAAAGGCCCUGCUUUUGUGGGGUGCUCGAGUGGCGAACGGGUGAGUAACACGUGAGUAACCUGCCCUUGACUUUGGGAUAACUUCAGGAAACUGGGGCUAAUACCGGAUAGGAGCUCCUGCUGCAUGGUGGGGGUUGGAAAGUUUCGGCGGUUGGGGAUGGACUCGCGGCUUAUCAGCUUGUUGGUGGGGUAGUGGCUUACCAAGGCUUUGACGGGUAGCCGGCCUGAGAGGGUGACCGGCCAGAGGGGGACUGUGUUGCGGCCCAGACUCCGGCGGGAGGCAGCAGUGGGGAAGGUUGAACGAUGGGCGGACGCUUGCUGCCGCACCGCCGCGGGCGGGAUGCGGGCCUUCGGGUUGUAGCCCGCUUUCGGCUGGGAAGCUGCGUGAGUGAGGGUAAUGGGUAAAGAAGCCCCGGCUAACUACGUG
This 468-nucleotide ribosomal RNA is filed under the name uncultured bacterium. RNAcentral's name for it is "partial 16S ribosomal RNA". It matches the Rfam family "Bacterial small subunit ribosomal RNA", at positions 28 to 507 of the family's 1533-position model. The record is from RNAcentral.